RNAcentral lists this ribosomal RNA (410 nucleotides) under Mandarina aureola. RNAcentral describes it as "partial 16S ribosomal RNA". The record is from RNAcentral. Lineage: Eukaryota; Metazoa; Mollusca; Gastropoda; Stylommatophora; Camaenidae.
AGUUUUGAGCUAAAUAUAUUUAUAAUAUUAGUUAUUUAUGAAGGUGUUGUAAAAUCUUUAUUUAAAAUUAUAUUUAGGGGUGACAGGCCUUUCAAAAACUAAGAUAUCUUGAAUCUAAUUAAAAGUAUGUAGUACAAUUAACACAACUAUUAAGUGAUUAGGCUUUAUAGAAUUAUUAACUUAUAAGAUUUUAUUUACUAUAAUUUAAUAAUUAAGUACAUAAAUAUAUUCAAUAUUCAUAUAUUAUAGUUUAUAAAAGAGUAAUUAGAUAGAUUUAAGUUCAUAUUUCUUAUAAUAAUGUUAAUAUUAGUAUUAAGUUUAUAUUUAUAUGAUGAACUCGGCAAAAAUACUUCUCAACUGUUUAUCAAAAACAUAACUAUGUGAAUGAAUACAUAGCGGUUUCUGCUCAA